UCUCCGUUGGUGAACCAGCGGAGGGAUCAUUACAGAGUUGCAAAACUCCCAACCCUUUGUGAACGAACCUACCAGUUGCUUCGGCGGAAGGCCCUUCAGGGGGCGGCCCGCCGAAGGUCUACAAACUCUUGAUUUUUUGGCAUCUCUGAGUAGCUUAUAAAAUAAGUUAAAACUUUCAACAACGGAUCUCUUGGUUCUG
RNAcentral lists this unclassified non-coding RNA (199 nucleotides) under plant metagenome. Its description in RNAcentral is "partial contains small subunit ribosomal RNA, internal transcribed spacer 1, and 5.8S ribosomal RNA". The record is from RNAcentral.